Molecule: long non-coding RNA, 1191 nt
Organism: Cryptomeria japonica (Japanese cedar)
Lineage: Eukaryota; Viridiplantae; Streptophyta; Pinopsida; Cupressales; Cupressaceae
Exons: 3
Source: RefSeq, a predicted model, not a curated record
UCACCUUUUCUUCAAUAUUUCUCCUUCAUCUUAUAUGCACCUGUGAAACCUGCAUAUAUUUUACCACAAAUAUUGAUGCCCAAUUUUUUUGGCACCUACCUAUUGGGGUUGCAAGCAGCUUACAGAGGCCUACUCGAUUCCCAACUAGAGAGAACUCAUGCCUCCCGGGAUCUCUGGCAAGGACGGAUUGUCAGGAAGAACAACUACACACUGAUCAAGGCUUUAUUGCAGAAAGUUGCAGGUGGUACGUGGCAUUUACAAAGAAAUACAUUUUGUGUACAUACAGGGAGCUCAAGAAGAGAUUUUGUAAUUAUGGAUUCUGGCAAAAUUAUUUGAUAUUCUUUGCUGAAUGCCCAUAUCUUAUUUCAAACCUCCAUACGAUGCCAUGAGACCACAUUUCAGUGAGGCAUUUUGCAAAACAUUCCACAUCAUGAUCUAUGUUUCCACAUUUUUCGUUCAUUUCUACUAUUAUGUAGGCGGAGAAACAAUGGUUCCACUCUUACCGCGGGUAUUAUUGCCAACAGAGAGGGAAUUUCUUGGUUGAUGAAGGAUAAAGUGCAACAGACAAAUUACUUUGUAUCUCUCACCCAAGCCUCCACUUGCAGAAUUGAUUUUUUUAAUGGCGAAGAGAUUUACACCCCUUUCAAGAACCUCCUUCCUAUGAUGAUCUUGGCGAGAUUUCUGGUGGUGUUGCAUGUUUGAGGAUUUGAUUUGGGUCCAUGCUAUAUCACCAAUGGCAUUUUAUUGGUCUAGUGGUUGAUUUGCGUAUCGUGUGAUGUAAUUUUGUAAUUAGGUCUUAAGGGUCGAGCCAACCUUGUAGUCAAGGUUGAUGAUUUGUAUAAAUGGGUGUUAUAUUCAUGUAUUUUGUGAAAAGGUGUUGUGUCUGCAUUAUCAGAGUGUUUUAUGUGCGAACAAGUGAAUUCAUCUUUCGGUGAGAAGUAUUAAGCAAAGAGUGUUGCAGGGCAGACAAAUGUGCUUAAUCGAAACUGUCAUCAGACAUUUGGAGAUGCUAUUCUUUUAGUUCAUGUAAACCGGAUUGUUGUCCAAAUGUUGUUGUAAGAUAGUGAACCUUCCCUGAGGGUUUUAUCUUUCCAGGUCAUUAUAUUUUGAGCAGCAAGUUCUAGGCAGUGUGCCUGAAUGCAUGUGCAUUCUCAAUUGUAAUAUUUUUACAUACUACUACAAAGUAUCAUC